UCCCCAAGCACUUCCCAAUUGUUUGUGCAGUUCACGUCUGCAGACAUUUGCUCAUCUCCCGUCAGAACAGGAUCUGCACACGUGUUCACAUUUUCUAUUCCACAUUUCUAUUGUAGUGUACUGUAUGUAUGGAGCAUAAUAUAUUUGUGUAUAUUCUUUAUCACCGCGGACACGUGAGGUAACGUUACUCAUUUUAUAACCUUUAUGGUGUUAUAGUCAAUCAUGCUUAUGUAGCCACAUUCUUCUAUUAGCUCUGUAAAACAAUGCUAAAUGCGUCAGAGAAGUAUUAUCUUGUGUUGCAUUUUGAAGCUACCAUGGCCUUAUGACUCUCAAGUGGUGCAGCGGUCAAAGGCACAGCACAUCAGUACUAGAGGUGUCACUACAGACUCCCUGGUUCAAAUCCAGGCUGCGUUUCCAUCAAAAAACAUUAUUUGCCAAUAUCAUAACUGGAGCUGGACAUCUUUGGAGCUGAAGAAUGAGGACAGCUUUUGUAUGCUAACGUACACUCCUUAACAGUUGUACUGGAUGAAAACACAGCAAGAAAACACAUAUGCCAAUAUGUAAUAUUAAUCUAUUUUAUUGCAGUACUGGUAGUUGGUUCAACAACUUGUUUUACUAGAGGACAAAAAACUGAAUAUGCAUAACCCAUAUUUAAUAUCCAUGCAGUGACUGAACAGCAACUGCAUUUCCACCCCCAUCUCUAAGGCAUAGUAUCAUGGCUGGUCACCUGUCAAGUCACAUGUCAGGCAGACUUUGCAAUGCCUCCGUGUGCGACUACCUUGAGAAGCAGUUUGAGGGACUUUGCAGGGGAAAUGUCGUGCAGUGAGGCGUAGGGGAUUGUCUACAGCAGGACGACCCCCAGUGGAUGGGCGCCAAGGGGUGUGGUGCUCCUCCAG
Long non-coding RNA from Oncorhynchus nerka (sockeye salmon), 896 nucleotides. RefSeq lists it as uncharacterized. The record is from RefSeq and is a predicted model, not a curated record. Lineage: Eukaryota; Metazoa; Chordata; Actinopteri; Salmoniformes; Salmonidae. The transcript is spliced from 3 exons.